UGCUUAUAUUGAGCAGCACCCUGCAUAGGUUAAAAAGAAAUCUGCGAAUCAUUCACACUCACUCAUGAAAUAUAUUUUUUCCUUAGGCCUUACUAGUGGACUCAGACUCGCUGCUCAUUGCAAGUCUGACAAGUCUGGUUCAUUUGAGAGGCAGAAGAAGGAGCAGUGGGCUUGGCUGCGGUCGUAAUGCAAGGAGGCUACAAAGCUCCUGUGGAGUGUCCUUCAGCUUCAGAACAAGAGCCUCAUAGUAGCCCCGCAUUGGAGUAUUUGUGCAUCAAGAGGACAAACAAGUGCCCCUGAACGGGGCUCUGACAGCGAGAAAUUUGGAGGUUGUGGCUAGUGAUUAUUGCUUAAAGAGCCUCCAAGGAACUGCUCAUAUCAGUGUACGCUUGGAUACCUCACCACUCAGAACCUACCUCAAGUCAGCGGCGAAUGUGUCAUCACUGAAAGCAAGCUCAUGAGCCGAAAUCCUCGCAAGAAAACUAGACUAAAGAGAGACUAUUGAUUUUCAAGCUACCCACAUCCAGUCGUAAGAAGCAAUACAGUUGCCAUAGUGACAACUCCAUGCACCAUCAAUAUGCCAGCUGGACAAACGGAAGCCUUUUACUGAAAAACAGUGAAAGAGUACGGUAUGUUCAAUCUGUACAAUGUUGGGUGCACAGAUUGUUGUUUCUUUAUGAAUUACUGAGUUUACAGGAAAUGUGUAGGCUUCAAAACUCUUUAACAGUGCUUGUCAUGGGCUGCACAUACUGUACUUCACUCUACGUGUCAAAUUUGCAUAGAGUAUCACAUAUAACUAGGUAACAAAUGGGCUUGUAGUAGUGCAUAUUUAGAAGCACUUCUUUUUCACAUUUUGUAUAGAUUGCUGUGAAUGUAAAGACUGUUGCAAGACAGUGGUAGGUACAGCUAGAGUAGUGUUGAAACAGUUACUGAUACCGCAUGCAUGUUGGGACUGACACUAUCAAAGUUCUAAAAAAAAACCGUGCAAG
Rhipicephalus microplus (southern cattle tick) is the source of this 989-nucleotide long non-coding RNA. Lineage: Eukaryota; Metazoa; Arthropoda; Arachnida; Ixodida; Ixodidae. The record is from RefSeq and is a predicted model, not a curated record.